GGCAAAGAUACGGGUUCCGGUAGUGAUUUGUGUUCGCAGUUGAGACAACCUGUGUUCGUAUCUGUAUUUGACAGGUAUCCGUGGCUGACAUUAAAAUCAAAGGAAAAUAUGAUAUCAGUUAUAUUUGUCUAUAUCUGAUCUAAUUAUAUCCCUACUUUCAACUAUUCUCUUCUUACAACAAAUCUAUGAAAAAUGGAUCAUGGAAGUAAUAACUAUUUCAUCUGUGCAAUUUGGGUCCGGCUACUGUAGCAUUUUCGUUUAUAUUUGAUAAUUAUUGUCUAAUUGUAGACUAAUUAUGCAUUUAAUACU
This 309-nucleotide long non-coding RNA is filed under the name Sorghum bicolor (sorghum). RNAcentral's name for it is "long non-coding RNA (SBIC_LNC006298)". Lineage: Eukaryota; Viridiplantae; Streptophyta; Magnoliopsida; Poales; Poaceae. The record is from RNAcentral.